UAUAAGGGAUUUUGAGUUUUUGCUUGCAGCGUUUGACCACUCGUCUUAUUCAAAUUUUUUUGAAAUUAUUAAUUAUUGUAUUUGUGACUUACUUUAUUAUCUACAGUACUUUAAGCACAACUUUUCAUUUUUUAUAUUUGCAUAAAAAAUUUGAAUAAGACGAGUGGUCAAACGUUGCAAGCAAAAACUUAAAAUCCCUUAUA
Molecule: non-coding RNA, 203 nt
Organism: Oryza nivara
Lineage: Eukaryota; Viridiplantae; Streptophyta; Magnoliopsida; Poales; Poaceae
Source: Rfam